This 489-nucleotide ribosomal RNA is filed under the name uncultured bacterium. RNAcentral describes it as "partial 16S ribosomal RNA". It matches the Rfam family "Bacterial small subunit ribosomal RNA", at positions 29 to 507 of the family's 1533-position model. The record is from RNAcentral.
AGUGAACGCUGGCGGUAGGCCUAACACAUGCAAGUCGAACGGCAGCACAGUAAGAGCUUGCUCUUACGGGUGGCGAGUGGCGGACGGGUGAGGAAUACAUCGGAAUCUACUUUUUCGUGGGGGAUAACGUAGGGAAACUUACGCUAAUACCGCAUACGACCUACGGGUGAAAGCAGGGGAUCUUCGGACCUUGCGCGAUUGAAUGAGCCGAUGUCGGAUUAGCUAGUUGGCGGGGUAAAGGCCCACCAAGGCGACGAUCCGUAGCUGGUCUGAGAGGAUGACCAGCCACACUGGAACGGAGACACGGUCAAGACUCAGACGGGAGGCAGCAGUGGGGAAUAUUGGACAAUGGGCGAAAGCCUGAUCCCAUACCGCGUGGGUGAAGAAGGCCUUCGGGUUGUAAAGCCCUUUUGUUGGGAAAGAAAAGCAGCAGGUUAAUACCCCGCUGUUCUGACGGUACCCAAAGAAUAAGCACCGGCUAACUUCGUG